This is a non-coding RNA of Schistosoma haematobium, 81 nucleotides long. NCBI's taxonomy places the organism in Eukaryota, Metazoa, Platyhelminthes, Trematoda, Strigeidida, Schistosomatidae. The record is from Rfam.
UUGCUGUGAAAGACUUGAGUAGUGAGACGCUUAUAGCAUGGUUUUCCCUUCGGCGCCUCAUACUGAGUCUUUCCCGGCUCA